This 649-nucleotide long non-coding RNA is filed under the name Marmota monax (woodchuck). Lineage: Eukaryota; Metazoa; Chordata; Mammalia; Rodentia; Sciuridae. The record is from RNAcentral.
AUCUGUGGAGUUCAGAAAAGUUAAGGCUAUCUGAUAAUGAUUACCUAUUUUAGCCCCAUAAUCUGAUUUCUGCAGAAUGACACAGCAUCAGUCUGACUAAAGGAAAAGCUCAAGGGAGGAAGUAAUUGUAAAAAAAAACCUAUGAAUUUACUUAAUAUUUAAAGUUUUUGAGCAGGAAAACAUUAAAGCAGUGGAUCACAUUUUCAUUCCCUGCUAGACAGACUGUUGCUUCUGUACCUACAGUGCCUGGUGCACAGUAGAUUUUCCAUAAAUUUCUGGGCAGUUUAAGGGCAACACUCGGCAUCAAAAUUAUUCUAAAACAUUUACCUAGUAGCAAUCUUCAGGGGGUGCAGAAACUGAUUUUUGACUUUGCAUUUUCUACUGUCAGGAGAAUAAAGAUCAUGCUAAUGACCAUAAUAACUGUUAGGAAUGACCAGCAGAGUUACAUGACUUGUCAGGUUAUUUAAAAUAAUUCAGAGACAUAAGUUACCAGAUCCCAGAGUUGCUACUUCCUGACUUGAGAGGAAAGCACCAGCCUGGCCUCCCCUUCUGCUUCAGUGCAUCACUUCUGCUGAUGCAAUUUUUUUCCAUUCACAGGUCAAAUCUCCCUGCCUCCUUGGCAAGUGCUAACAUUGAAAACAUUGUCAAC